ACCCUCUGCUCCUUGACUAGAAAUGCAUCGGGACAAGCUGCCUGAAGCCCUGGCUGCCAAGAAGUCGUGGUCUCCAAACUGUGAGCUGAAACAAGCUCUUUCUUCCUGAUUUGAUUUUGUCAGUUUUUUGGUUUGUUUGUUUGUUUUUUUCCAUCAAGAUGAGAACGAACUAAAAACAGGACGCAAUUCCCCUUCCUGAUUUUCUCCGGGAGGAAAUGAGCAAAGCAUUCUGUUUUAUUAAGGUGACUUUACACAGCAACAGACCUAAGCCUGAACUGAAACCGGAAAUUGUAAGAGCUCACUCCCUGGAAAGCAAAUCAUGUUCCUUCGAACGGAGCCAGAUACGCAUGUCUCCUGAGAGGCUCUGCCAGGGUCCUACUGAUACAGAUGAGGAUGGUUGCAGCUAACCAUUGGACUGAACAAGGGCACCCCAAUGGAGGAGUUAGAGAAAAGACUGAAGGAGCUGAAGGGUUUUGCAACACCAUAGGAAGAACAACAAUAUCAACCAACCAAAGCCCACCAGAGCUCCCAGGGAUUAAACCAUCAACCAGUGAGUGCCCAUGACUCCAGCCACAUAUGUGGCAGAGGAUGGCGUUGUCAGCAUCAAAGGGAGGAAAAGCCCUUGGUCCUGUGAAGGCUUGUUUCCCCAUAGUAGGAUAACACCAGGGCACUGAGGUUGGUAUGGGUGGGUGGGAAUGAAGCACCUUCAUAGAAGCGGGGGGGGUAUGGGAGAAGGGGGAAGGUAGAUAACAUUUGAAAUGUAAAUACAUAAAAUAGCCAA
Non-coding RNA from Rattus norvegicus (Norway rat), 781 nucleotides. The record is from RefSeq and is a predicted model, not a curated record. NCBI's taxonomy places the organism in Eukaryota, Metazoa, Chordata, Mammalia, Rodentia, Muridae.